This 456-nucleotide unclassified non-coding RNA is filed under the name Podachaenium eminens. Its description in RNAcentral is "partial external transcribed spacer". The record is from RNAcentral. Lineage: Eukaryota; Viridiplantae; Streptophyta; Magnoliopsida; Asterales; Asteraceae.
GCAAUCCUCUUUGACGUAACCCACCCGGUGGUACGAGCCAAUUCGGGCKGGGCGGUCAUUUUAAGAGAAGCACGCUUUCCUCUUCGACGUAACCCACCCGGUGGUACGAGCCAAUUCGGGCUGGGCGGUCAUUUUAAGAGAAACGCGAACGCUACACGAGGGCAGAACAAGGGUCCCAUGAGACCCCAUGCCCACAUCAGGUUCCGUAUCCAAGAUAGCAAGCAAUGCUCAAUGGGCCACAACAACAACGCAAGCGUUAACGACGUGGUACAAAGAGACAGCUUCAAGGUUCAUCUGAUGCCACAUGAAUGACACAAGACGAAGGCAACUUUGUUCGAUCGGGACAAUACCAUAACUUAGGUAGGCAGCACAGGAAACCCGCGAUCUGCAUAGGCGAUACAAGCCUAAGCAAGCGACUGAAGAGGUAUGCAGGGUGGCAGUUGUUGCGCAAGCAAA